Molecule: ribosomal RNA, 496 nt
Filed under: uncultured bacterium
Lineage: Bacteria
Description: partial 16S ribosomal RNA
Rfam family: Bacterial small subunit ribosomal RNA
Source: RNAcentral
AUGAACGCUGGCGGCGUGCCUAAUCCAUGCCAGUCGAGCGAACAGACGAGGAGCUUGCUCCUCUGACGUUAGCGGCGGACGGGUGAGUAACACGUGGAUAACCUACCUAUAAGACUGGGAUAACUUCGGGAAACCGGAGCUAAUACCGGAUAAUAUAUUGAACCGCAUGGUUCAAUAGUGAAAGACGGUUUUGCUGUCACUUAUAGAUGGAUCCGCGCCGCAUUAGCUAGUUGGUAAGGUAACGGCUUACCAAGGCAACGAUGCGUAGCCGACCUGAGAGGGUGAUCGGCCACACUGGAACUGAGACACGGUCCAGACUCCUACGGGAGGCAGCAGUAGGGAAUCUUCCGCAAUGGGCGAAAGCCUGACGGAGCAACGACGCGUGAGUGAUGAAGGUCUUCGGAUCGUAAAACUCUGUUAUUAGGGAAGAACAAAUGUGUAAGUAACUAUGCACGUCUUGACGGUACCUAAUCAGAAAGCCACGGCUAACUACGUG